CGCCCGCCCUGCCCCUAUUUAUGGGUGCAGCCGCGCGGCGCAGCGCCCCGUGCAACAACACGGCAAUCACGUGUGGGAAACGGGGAGCUGGAGGAAAACAAAAGCCCGGCCAGCAACCCGGAGGAGGAGGAGAGAGAAGGGAGAAGGAGGUCAUGGGCUUAUGUAAGUGGCUGGACAAGUGGUAACAGGAGUUCAGAGCAUGAUAGAAUUUGUACACAGUGCACGAAGAGCUGGAAGAGAGACUCAUCAGCUGUGGGUGUUUGGAGACAGUGAGAAACUUGGGGUGACACAGAUUUCCUGGAAGUGCAUAGAUCCACAGUUGUCUCUUAUGAAGAACCUAACUUUAUUUUCUUCCCUUGUUCUAAGCUUCACGAGGAAUAAAGCACAUCUGAUGCAGGA
RNAcentral lists this long non-coding RNA (399 nucleotides) under Chrysolophus pictus (golden pheasant). RNAcentral's name for it is "lncRNA (ENSCPIG00010002675.1)". The record is from RNAcentral. Lineage: Eukaryota; Metazoa; Chordata; Aves; Galliformes; Phasianidae.